This 253-nucleotide ribosomal RNA is filed under the name uncultured bacterium. Its description in RNAcentral is "partial 16S ribosomal RNA". It matches the Rfam family "Bacterial small subunit ribosomal RNA", at positions 524 to 776 of the family's 1533-position model. The record is from RNAcentral.
UACGGAGGGGGCUAGCGUUGUCCGGAAUCAUUGGGCGUAAAGCGCGCGUAGGCGGCCCGGUAAGUCCGCUGUGAAAGUCAAAGGCUCAACCUUUGAAUGUCAGCGGAUACUGCCGGGCUAGAGUCCGGAAGAGGCGAGUGGAACUCCUGGUGUAGCGGUGGAAUGCGCAGAUAUCAGGAAGAACACCAACGGCGAAGGCAGCUCGCUGGGACGGAACUGACGCUAAGGCGCGAAAGCGUGGGGAGCGAACAGG